UAUCCGUUGGUGAACCAGCGGAGGGAUCAUUAUCGAGUUGUUAACUUAGAAAUUUUAUGCGAUCUUAACACUUGUUGCUUCGGAGCGUAGUUCGGCUCCCUCAAUGACACGCAAACUCUUUGUAUUUAUAAGCAUUUCUGAUUGUCCGUAUGGCAAAAUACAUAUGAAUAAAAACUUUGAAUAAAGGAUGUGUUGGUUCUGGCAUAGAUGAAGAACGCAGGAGAUCGGAAGAUCAUCCGUAUGAACUUCAAUCACGCAUAGCAAACAUGUAGGACGGCC
This 279-nucleotide unclassified non-coding RNA is filed under the name plant metagenome. RNAcentral's name for it is "partial contains small subunit ribosomal RNA, internal transcribed spacer 1, and 5.8S ribosomal RNA". The record is from RNAcentral.